Molecule: microRNA, 22 nt
Filed under: Homo sapiens (human)
Lineage: Eukaryota; Metazoa; Chordata; Mammalia; Primates; Hominidae
Description: hsa-miR-6827-5p
Source: miRBase by way of RNAcentral
UGGGAGCCAUGAGGGUCUGUGC